AUGUUGAAAGAGUUUAUUGCCCAAUUUUCGAAACAACAGCUUUGCAACGGAAGAGACAGCGGCUUACAAUUAACAGAAUAACCAGAAUCAUUGUUAAUUCGUGCGGCAACCAGCUCGAUAAAAUUAGUUAGUUACAAACACACCUAGAAAACUCAAUCACGGCCCGGGAGUGCAGCGUACGUAAAACACCUGCCCGCAGACGACUUCGGAAGGAAAUCGAGCGAGAAGCGUAAGCACUCGACCGAGCACGAAGACGUAUUAACAUAGCGGCGGGACCGGCCGACUGUCCACUGUCACAGGCCGACGAUGUCGUGCCGUACUUAAGCCCGCCGCACACUACAUGCAAUACACACUAGAGCAA
Priapulus caudatus is the source of this 361-nucleotide long non-coding RNA. RefSeq lists it as uncharacterized. The record is from RefSeq and is a predicted model, not a curated record. The transcript has 3 exons. Lineage: Eukaryota; Metazoa; Priapulida; Priapulimorpha; Priapulimorphida; Priapulidae.